This 397-nucleotide ribosomal RNA is filed under the name Sphingomonadaceae bacterium enrichment culture clone OTU_11. RNAcentral describes it as "bacterial SSU rRNA". It matches the Rfam family "Bacterial small subunit ribosomal RNA", at positions 977 to 1376 of the family's 1533-position model. Lineage: Bacteria; Pseudomonadati; Pseudomonadota; Alphaproteobacteria; Sphingomonadales; Sphingomonadaceae. The record is from RNAcentral.
GCCUUUGACAUCCCGCGCUACUUCCAGAGAUGGAAGGUUCCCUUCGGGGACGCGGUGACAGGUGCUGCAUGGCUGUCGUCAGCUCGUGUCGUGAGAUGUUGGGUUAAGUCCCGCAACGAGCGCAACCCUCGUCCUUAGUUGCCAUCAUUUAGUUGGGCACUCUAAGGAAACCGCCGGUGAUAAGCCGGAGGAAGGUGGGGAUGACGUCAAGUCCUCAUGGCCCUUACAGGCUGGGCUACACACGUGCUACAAUGGCGGUGACAGUGGGCAGCCACUACGCGAGUAGGAGCUAAUCCCAAAAAGCCGUCUCAGUUCGGAUUGUUCUCUGCAACUCGAGAGCAUGAAGGCGGAAUCGCUAGUAAUCGCGGAUCAGCAUGCCGCGGUGAAUACGUUCCCG